GUGCACCAGGCGCGAAACCUUCGCAAUGCGGGAAACCGCGACGAGGGACUCCCAGUGCCUACGCUCAGCGUAGGCUGUUCCCGAGCCUAGAAAGCUCGGGGAGUAAGGGCUGGGUAAGACGGGUGCCAGCCGCCGCGGUAAUACCCGCAGCCCGAGUGGUGGCCACUAUUAUUGGGCCUAAAGCGUCCGUAGCCGGCCCGGUAAAUGCCUGGGUAAAUCGUGAGGCCUAACCUCACGAAUUCCGGGUAGACUGCCGGGCUAGGGACCGGAGGAGGGAGAGGGUACUCCAGGGGUAGGGGUGGAAAUCCUGUAAUCCCUGGAGGACCACCGGUGGCGAAGGCGCUCUCCUAGGACGGGUCCGACGGUGAGGGACGAAAGCCAGGGGAGCGAACC
RNAcentral lists this ribosomal RNA (393 nucleotides) under uncultured microorganism. RNAcentral's name for it is "bacterial SSU rRNA". It matches the Rfam family "Archaeal small subunit ribosomal RNA", at positions 330 to 725 of the family's 1478-position model. The record is from RNAcentral.